Molecule: small nucleolar RNA, 129 nt
Organism: Vicia villosa (hairy vetch)
Lineage: Eukaryota; Viridiplantae; Streptophyta; Magnoliopsida; Fabales; Fabaceae
Product: small nucleolar RNA snoR74
Exons: 1
Source: RefSeq, a predicted model, not a curated record
AUAAAAGCAGUGGUCUAUUUCUUACACGAGCAGUCCUCCCGUAAUCUUCAGGAACAUGAAAACCAUUAUUUUUGGGUGAACCUUUAUUCUUUGUUCAUGACUAAAGGUUCAGUAAAUAAUGUAAUAUUU